UUGGAGGGCAAGUCUGGUGCCAGCAGCCGCGGUAAUUCCAGCUCCAAUAGCGUAUAUUAAAGUUGUUGCAGUUAAAAAGCUCGUAGUUGAACUUCAGACCUGACCGGGCGGUCCGCCUAACGGUGUGUACUGUCUGGCCGGGCCUUACCUCUUGGUGAGCCGGCAUGCCCUUCACUGGGUGCGUCGGGGAACCAGGACCUUUACCUUGAGAAAAUUAGAGUGUUCAAAGCAGGCUUACGCCGGAAUACAUUAGCAUGGAAUAAUAAAAUAGGACGUGCGG
Molecule: ribosomal RNA, 280 nt
Filed under: uncultured Basidiomycota
Lineage: Eukaryota; Fungi; Basidiomycota
Also listed under: 1 other name
Description: partial 18S ribosomal RNA
Rfam family: Eukaryotic small subunit ribosomal RNA
Source: RNAcentral